GGGCUGUACUAUGUGUGGGUUUGUUGGGUUUGAUGCUCUCUGCUGAGGAUCCUUAGACCCUAACAUAAGGAGCUGGACAAGAGCAAAAAUGGACUUAGUAGGUCAGGAAAGCAGUUUAGCAGAACAAGAAGCAUGCUACAGAUCUCCUGCUUCACAACUCAAUUCCUUGCCACGUGUACCAUUCCACCAUCCCCUUUGCUGAACCAUGAAGUCAGGAGAAAGCAAAGACCUGAACCUUGUGAAAGUUUCCCAUUUUAAAUUGGGUUUGUCCCUUGAGAACAACUGAGGAAAAAAUGACUGUGCAGAACUGGUUCCUAGAAAACAGAUACUCCUACAAACACUGCUGCAGGAUGGAAUGGUCAGGACGGUGCAUGAAAUCAACUUCCUUUGCCCCUUUGGUUGUACUAUACCUAAAACAUGCCAGCUGAGCAGAGUUAAAUCAGCUGACUCACUUGCAGUUCACAUUGAAUAAGAGGAGUAACUGAACCAGCUAGGCUCCAGUGCCCCUGACGUUCGGAAAGACCAAAGUCUGCUGACCCCCUUUUCCUGCUGGAGAAGCAUUUAGAUAACUGUUCAGUCUACAGCAUGUUUGGUAAACAAACUUGAUGGAUUGGGUGGCAGAUUUAAUUUAAGUAGAGGAAUAGAGAGGUGUGCAAUUAUUAGUCAAUUACACAUCCAUUAAUAGGCUACUGCACUGAACUAUUAAUCAUUUGUGAACUUAAUUCUUUCCCCUCUCUUUCUUUAAAGGGCAGAUGCAGCUUUGAAAGAGAGAAAUGCUUCAGGAUAGACCCGUUGUCAUUGGAGAACAAGCCCAUCCCAGCUACAGCAUCAGCCAGUGGAAAGGAAACCUUGCUGAGAAAAUCAGAAGGGAAGCAUGGAACAGCUGGAGGUGCAGGACAGGGAGUGGAAAGGGCAGGAAAGGCAGUUAUGCCUCUUCUGUGGUACUGUGGUCAUUGGCAACUGGAGAUGUACCCAGUGGCUGGGCAGUAAGGUAGAGAUAUACUAAAGAAGUUGCAAGAACAAAUUACACCUGUAGCCAGAAAAAUUCAAGUACAUAUCCCUGAGGAUGAAGCCAUAGAGGCCCAGGUCUUCGUGUUACAGGAAUCACCUCCUGAAUCUGAAAUACCCGAGGAAGUAGACAACAUGGUAAAGCUAUUGUUAUGAGCUGGAGGAACCUCAGGAUGAUCACGGUGGACCAAAUGUGUGAUUGUACAAUUGUAGCUGAACUCCAGACUGGUCAGAAAAAAAAAAAAACAUUUGAACUGUUCGUGCAUGAAAGGCUGCAUAAUGCCCUGGGAGUCCUGGCACAGAGACUGAGAUUAUUGAGAGCAUUGGAACUAUUAAAAGAAAUUUUUUAAAAAAGAGUCAAUAUAUGGAAUGAUUCAAAAUUUGCAUUUGGAGUUGUACAUUGCCAUGGAGUAAUAUGGAAGAGAAGAGGACUGCUAUCCUACCAGGGAUCACAAAUAAAAUAUGGACCCAUUAUUAUAGAGCUACUAGAAAGUGUACAGCCUCCUCAGAAAGUAGCCAUAAUGCAUCGCAAAGCACAUCAGUUCAGUAACACUCCAGUGAAUUACAGCAGCUGACUUGCCAAUAGAGCUGCUGAAGCAGCCACAGAAGGAACUCUUUUAUUAGUAAUCCUGGACAAAUAUAAAUAACUAGGGAAAGAAGUCCCACGUUAUCAAGCUAAAGAUGAGAGACUGGCAACAUUACGGACAGUGGUUAAAGAUGACAAAGGAUAGUAGAUAACUCCAGAUAAACAGACAAUUAUCCCUCAAUCUCUUAUGAAUAAAUGGCCAGAAGAUUAUCAUUGAUUGACACAAUGGGGAAUAGAGACAAUGAUAGAAAGCAUGAGACACCAAGUUUUAAGUGUGCGAAUGGCAGGAAUCAUAAAGAAUAUUGUGAAAAGAUAUGAACUCUGUUUGAAAAACAAUCUCCAUCAACCUAAAUGACCUCCACUCAAAACAGCUAAGAAAGGAAACCAUCCAGGAGUUUAUUGGCAGAUGGAUUUUUGUGAAUCACUGCGGUGAUGUGAGCACAGGUAUGUCGUUGUAUGUGCACCUUUACUCCUGGAUGGACUUGUACACCGGUACCAACCUGCAGAUUGAGUGUACCUGAAGACAGGGUCAGAUAAGGAGAAGUGGAGAGGACCCUUCCAGACUUUACUCACCACCCAUGCAGCAGUCAGACUCAAGGGAAUCAGCCUAUGGAUUCACUGCAGUAGAGUCAAGCAGGUUUCUCAUAACAAUAAGUAAUGCAUUUAUUAACGGUGAGGGAAUGAAUGUGAAAGUGAAAAUUUGGUUUUAACAUUAAUACAAGGGUUUGGUAGGAUGUGCAAUGUCACUAGCAUCUGCGUAAUCAUAAUUAUAAGAGGUAUAGGACUGUAUAAGAUGUAUUAAAAGAUAUUUUGAAAGAAAUAUGUGGAAGUAAUUAGAAGAACUAACUAUUUACUUCCCAAGGAGGAAAUUGAUACCUGGCAAUUAAUUAACCACAGGCCCCUUGCAAGGACCCCAUACUAACACAGAGCGUGUGCAGUAUUAGAUUUUAACAUAUAUAGUAAUUCUUGUAAUAGGCAGGCACUCUGUGGAAAAUGUAUGAAUAUUCACACAUGUUCAGUGUAUCUGUGUAUAUCUAUCAAUGUAUCUAUUCAAUCAAUCUGUGUGCUUUUAGCUCCUGGCUUUGCACGUUAGGCGGAGCAAUCCCCUGUGCAUCCAGUAACACAAUAACAAUAUUGUCACAAUAACAAAUGCCUGCUUCUUAAUGCUACAUUAGCAUUAAUGAGUUUUGUUCCUGAUUUCAGUGGCAGAAUUGGUGUUAUUUCUUUUUUUUUUCUUUUUUUUUUUUUCCCCCACCAAGUAUGAGGGCAAGACAUUAUGUGGGUGUAUGAGGUAUCUUUAGAUAUGCAGUGAGACAACUCAGGCACUGGGGAAAACUCAUCUCUGGAUACUGUCUCUGUCUCCCAUUUUAUUUAAGUUUCUUUCAGCUGCUGCCAUGAGCCCAGGAUAUCUCUUUUCAGCUGGCAGGAGCUGACAUAGCAGAAAUAGCUAUCAAAUAUGAUAUAGGUUCUCCCUUUGAAUGCUCCUUCUUGCACCAUUCUUGGUACAGUUUAGGGUACCAGUAGAAGAAAUGAAGAAAGCAGACAUCAAAGAUACUGCACAAGGUCAGUCAGCACCGAGAAGAGCCAACCGUCCUUCUAUAUCUGAUGCAAAGUGCCACAUCUUAGCUUUGUUUUCUUUUUCAAAAACUCUACUGGAAUUUGAAGAGGUUUUAAAACACCAGUACAUGAUUUGAAUAAUUGUAUGCUCCAAGGAAUGUAUGCCACCCAGAACAACUGGUCUGUCCCAGAGAAAUAGUACAACACUUCCGAAACGGAAGAAAAGCCUGACUUCUACUGACUUCAGUCUUCUUUUGCAAGUGGGACUUCCCACUGAGAAUCUAAAUAUGCAUCAGAUGUCUAAAAACAGUAAAUCAUUUAAGGGUUUUAACUGGGAAAAUAGUUCAGCAGCCCUUAUGAAUUAUUACUUUUUCACAUUAUUGCAAUUAAAAAUCCUCAUUUUCUCAGUGUUUGCAUAAGCAAAGUGGUUUGCCUACGGUGAAUGCAGCUCCACUGAAGGAUGUGAUACCUACUCUGCAUUGGUGCUCUCUGUUCCAAUGGGUGCAACUCUGCCAAUACUGCAGAAAUUUGAGGAUGCUUUUCUCUGAAGCAGUAGUGUUUAAAAUUUCAUCCUGUCCAUUAGAUUGCUCCAGAAUUAGCCUUGUAAGUACAUCUGAGUUCUGUGGCAUCAUGUUGCACUAAAAGCCAGUCUCUGAGAUGAGGGACUCAGGCAGUUUAUUUAUAGUUCAGAAGGUCAAAUAGUUGCCUUAAUUGGAAAACACCACUCACCAGUCUCUGAGCGUAUUGAUGUACUUUGCAUUCGAUGCCAUUAGUUACUUGUGUGAGUUUCUAAUAUCACCUUUGUUAAUAAGAUACAUUCUCCAUAAUGGGCUGCUUGCAGGUUCCAAGAGCCAUUUAUAUGCUAAGUUUGACAAGUUAGAUGAUGCUAAACCCAUACUGAAAGCAAUAGCUGUCAGAACUGUACCUGGGUGCCAGGCAGAUGUCUGUGACCUUCAAACUGUUUUGGGAUGGGAUGUGCUAAAUCCCGUCUGUAUGGUAUGUGACCAGGCAGCAAAGGUAUUUCUUCAAAUAUAUCUUGAAUUCCUGCCAGAAAAGUUGUAUAUAAACCUCACAGCAAAAGUUUGAUGGACUUGGCUUGUAGUAGAAGGAAGGUGAAAUAAAGUCACAGAAUCACAGAAGUUGGAAGGGACCUCAAGAGAUCAUUGAGUCCAACCCGCUGCCAAAGCAGGUGCCCUACAACAGGUCACACAGGUUGGUGUCCAGACAGGACUUGAAUAUCUCCAGAGAAGGAGAAGGCAAGGUGCUCCCAACAUGUCUGAAUUAAAGCAUACGAUAGCAAACACACUGAGUGAUUUGAGAGACCUGAAGAUCUCUCAUCCAUAGAGAUGCAGAUUAGGGAAAAAAAAACCACAAAAACAAACCUCUUCUCAACGCAAAGGAAACUAUCUUAAAGAAGUCUAAAAAAUUCCUCUUGAUUUCACUUCUGCUGUUCCCACACUUUCCCUUGCCUACUAUUGUUGCUGAAGGUCAUGUCAAGUUUUACAUGUAGUAUGGCCCAGUAGACACAUGAUCUUAACCAUAGGAGGAAGGCAAAAUGUUAAUGUUCAUUGUGUGGAUUUAUGUAGGAAGGGAGCAAGGAAGAGGAUUAAUAUGGAGGUGGCUAAUGCUGGGACUACUCCAAGUUUCUCUGGAAUCGAGCUCAGGAUGGCAUAUACAAAUAGGAAUCACACCUCUGGUUUGAUGUGAGGGGGUGUGACUAGUGAAGUUGCUGAUGUGAAGUUUUCUGGGUCCCUUAAGAGGUUAGGGGAGAAUAAGGCUAAUAUUAGGAAGGGGAUAAAGGCAUGGGCUGAGAUGUGAAGGAAAGCUAGUUGUGAGAGAUCAAGUCCAGUGGUGACUAUUAUUAAGCUUAGCUGGCUGGAGGUGAACCUGAGGAUGUCUUUUAAUGAGAAGUAGUGAUAGAAGGGAUGGGUUGGGAGGUGAAUUAGGGAAUUGCUGACUAUUUUUAGUAGGGGAUGGGAUUUUCAGAUGUUGAGGGCCAUUAUUUUAUUAUCUAUGGGCUGAUAGAUUAAUUAUUAACAUUGAUAGAGUGAAGAAUCCUCAGUAGGUUUUGAUUAAGCCUGUGGAAUGUAGUUGUGAUUUUGCUUGCUGUCAGGUGGAGGUUAGCAAAGCCUUUGGGGCCUAUUUUCUUGUGUCAGGAUAUAUCGAUUAGGUGAAAGGCAAUUUUUUGUCCUUUAUUUAGUAGGUCUGUACAGCUGGAUCAGAGCAUUAGGGAGCUUAAAGUAGCCUAAGGAGGAGAAGUUUCUAAGGGUACUUUGUUUUAAGGGGAAGGUAAAGGUGUGGGUUAUAUUUGAAGUUCUAGAACUAGAAUAAUUCUGAGAAUUGUGAGCACAUAUAUAUGUAUUUUUAUAUAUAUAUAUAUAUGUAUAUAUAAACACUAAUAACCCAAUGAAACAUCCUACCAGUCCAAAUCACAUCCAUCCAAAACUCUAUCAUUUAUCAUAAACUUCAUAAUCCCCCUAACCUUAAAAAUAGACCCAUGCUCAAUACUAUUUUUCCAAUUGCAUAAUUUGUAACUUGAUCAAUCCUGGAAUUUGUAACAUGAUGCAUAGCCUCAGAACCAUGUAUCAAGAAAUUCUUCACCUAUCUUCUUUACGUCCGAAUUGCCAUACUAACCAUUGCAAACAGCAUAUUCCUUCUUUUGUAGGCUGAGAGGAAUUAUGUCAUUCCUAUUCAUUGGCUGAUGACAAUGUCAAGCCAAAACUAACACAGCAGCAUUAAAAGCUGUAGUCUACCACCAGAUUGAAGAUAUAUAAGGCAAUGUAAUAUAACACAAAAUAGAGAUAAGCAUGUGAGUUUUUAACACUUGAAUUCAGUACUGUGCAGUACAAAGUACAAAGGAUCUAAGUAGAGUAAAUUUAAAUUUAAGAAGGUAAGCAGUUUUAGUUAGUUUAAAAUGGCAGGCUGGAGUAUUUAUUUGAUAAAAAGUCAUUCAAGUAUUUGACAGAAAGUCAUAGAAAUGAAAAAGCUAGACAUAACUGUUUUUAAAACAGCAUAACAACAUAAAAUGGGAAGAAGAGAGACUGAGAUUGUACUAUUAAUGUUUUCAUGAAGAAACAAAACACCAGACUUAAACAAGCAAACUCUAGUGGAGGAAAUAGAAACCCUAUUUUCUGCGGAGUGUGCAGUGAGACAUAAUGGCUGUAUAACUUCUAAAAGUUUAUAGUUUAGUGGUGCAGGCUCAGAAUAAAAGAAUUCAAUAGCAAAAUGAGUCAACACUUAAACCUAAAUUGUAAUUUAUAAGGGACUCUCUUCUCACGCAAAUCAAAUUUGGAAGCAGAAUAAUGUCUUCUGAUAGCGAGGCAGUAUUUGCUGAAUGUUCUGGGUGGCAGUUUGCAAUACACAGACAUUUGAAAUUACAUUUAUAAAAUAAAUGUUCAAUUCAAAACAAUUUUUAGCCUAUUUGCUGACACAUAAUACAAAAUUGUUGCUACACUAUAUAUUUCUUCAUAUAAGGCAUUGCAACACGCAGACAGUAAUGAAAAAUGGAGGCAACAGAGUUCUUGCAAAUGAAAGCAAGAAUGUAACUCUGUUCUUCCUGCUUCCCACCAGGGAAUGGUGGCUUCCAAAACACUGGAAAACAAGGCAGUUGGUGAGAAAGUCUCAGAAUUGACUCCAUGUGUUAAAAAAAGAAGGCCAAACAAAGCCAAGAGUGGUCACUCCCUGGCAUGUGCACCCUGCCUGAUACUUCAGGGAGAACAGAGUCACAUGGGCCUACACAUCACUGUCUCUCUCCUUCACUCUGCAUCUGCCAGGACAGAUGCAAUAAGGAUGCUGGUGCAUAUUGAAGCUCUGCUCUUCCAGUGGAUCUCAGCAGAAUGCACACUGAAAUUUCUCAUAGCUGAUGUACUCUCCUCACAGCUUAGAAGCCCCACUCACAGCAUCACAUAACAGUCCAGACUGAAAGGGACCAUAAAGCCCACUCAGGCCCAACCCACUGCCAUGGCCUGGCUGCCCCCUCCAGCUCAGGCUGCCCAGGGGCCAAUCCAACCUGUCCUUGAGUGCCUCCAGGGAUGGGGCACCACAACUUCUCCGGGCAGCUGUGCCAGGGCCUCACUGCCCUCUGAGUAAGGAAUUUCAUCCUAACAUCUAACCUAAAUCAUGAGUUUUUCGGUUCAAAACUAUCACUCCUUUUCCUAUCACUAUCACUGCAAACUGUCUAAGAGUGCACUCAGCCCCACUGUCCAUGUCAAUGAGAGAUGUUCAGUAGUGCCAGUCCCAACACACACCCCUGAGGAACACCUCUUGUUACUUUUCUCCACCUGGACAUCAAGCCAUUGACCUCAGUUCUUUGAGUGAGACCAUCCGGCUGAUUUGGUCUGCAGCUGCUAGUAUUGUUUGUGUAUCCCCAGUAAGUUCACAAUCCAUACAAAAACAUUCAGACUUUGAUUAAGUCUUGCAAUGCAAAUCUAGGACAACGUUAGAUAAACUGAAUUUGCAUGUGAAAUUAAAUAGCACUAGGGACACUGUUCUGAGUUACGAAUUUUCACUUUUCAUUUAAUUAAGAACUUGUACUUUCAAAGUAACCUGAAUCUAUCACAUAAUCUCCAGUAGUACGCACCACAGUGCUGCAAGAACUGUGAACCUUUUAGCUAAACUUUAGAAUAGCAUGGCAUAAGCAUAGCAUAGUUCAGUUGGAAGAGACCUUCAGACAUCAUCUAGUCCAAGUGUCUGACCUCAUCAGGGCUAAACAAGAGUUAAGUUAAUGAAAGCAUCAUCCAAAUGCCUCUUGAACAUGGGACAUCAACCACCUCUCUAAGUAGCCUGUUCCAGUGUCUGAUUGCACUCACAGCAAAGACAUUUUUCCUGAUGUCCGGUCUAAUCCUCCCAUGGCACAGCUUGUGCUGUUCCCAUCCAGUUCCUAGGAGCAGAGCCAGGUAACUCCCUCUCCAUUCCCCUCCUCAGGGAGCUGCAGAGAGCAGUGAGGUCACCUCUUGGCCUCCCAUUCUCCAGACUAGACAACCCCAGUGUCCUCAGCCUCUGCUCACAGCACAUGCCUUACAACCCUGUUACCAGCUUUGUUGUUCUCUGGAUGCUUUCAAGGACCUCAUCAUCCGUUCCGUAUUGUGGAGCCCAGAACUGCACACAGCACUCCAGGUGAGGCCACACCAUUGCUAGAGAUACAGUGGGAUAAGCAGCUCUUUUGACCAGCUGGUCAUGCUGUGUUUAUUGCACCUCCAAGGGCAGUUUGCCCAUUUGACUGCCAGGGCACACUGCUGGCUCAUGCUGAGCCUGCUGUCACCAGCACCCCAAGGAACCUUCAUGCUGAGCUGCUCUCCAGCCACUCCUUUCCCAUCUGU
This 8469-nucleotide long non-coding RNA is filed under the name Gallus gallus (chicken). Its description in RNAcentral is "lncRNA (ENSGALG00010004915.1)". The record is from RNAcentral. Lineage: Eukaryota; Metazoa; Chordata; Aves; Galliformes; Phasianidae.